AAAAAUGGCGGACUCGGGGAAGCGAAAACCUUCGGCGUCCAAGGAAACGCUGGAAACCCUUUUAGAGAUUUCAAAACUCCUGAAUACUGGUUUUGAUGCUGAGACUUUAGCAACAUGUGUUCGUCUUUGUGAAAAUGGUGUGAACCCAGAAGCCCUAGUCCUGGUCAUUCAAGAACUGCGUAGGGAAACUGCAGCUGUUAGAGCAGCAGAAGGAUGAGGAAUAUUACCCUUUCUGAGUGGAUGGAGUUGAUUGAAAAAAGAAGACAGUGUGGCUGCAUGUGACUAAACCUGUUGUCAGUGGAUGACUUGUGAAAUAGAUUUUUUUCUCCAUAUUUAUGAAAGCAUGACUUUUACUUGUACUACUCAAAUAAAUAUUUUAAACUUU
Molecule: long non-coding RNA, 385 nt
Organism: Saccostrea echinata
Lineage: Eukaryota; Metazoa; Mollusca; Bivalvia; Ostreida; Ostreidae
Exons: 3
Source: RefSeq, a predicted model, not a curated record